GCACGAGAAAGUGGAGCAAUCCAUGAGUAAAGUGGCGCACGGGUGAGUAACACGUGAAUGAUCUACCUCCGAGUGGGGAAUAACUUAGGGAAACCUGAGCUAAUACCGCAUAACACUUACGAGUCAAAGCAGCAAUGCGCUUGGAGAGGAGUUCGCGGCAGAUUAGCUAGUUGGCGGGGUAAUGGCCCACCAAGGCGAUGAUCUGUAUCCGGCCUGAGAGGGCGCACGGACACACUGGAACUGAAACACGGUCCAGACUCCUACGGGAGGCAGCAGUGGGGAAUUUUGCGCAAUGGGGGAAACCCUGACGCAGCAACGCCGCGUGGAGGAUGAAAUCCCUUGGGAUGUAAACUCCUUUCGAUCGGGACGAUUAUGACGGUACCGGAAGAAGAAGCCCCGGCUAACUUCGUG
This 411-nucleotide ribosomal RNA is filed under the name uncultured bacterium. Its description in RNAcentral is "bacterial SSU rRNA". It matches the Rfam family "Bacterial small subunit ribosomal RNA", at positions 64 to 507 of the family's 1533-position model. The record is from RNAcentral.